UUUCCGUAGGUGAACCUGCGGAAGGAUCAUUACCGUGGAUAAAGCAGCUCGAAGUGACCCUUCGGGAUGACGCCACCACCCUUUGUCACCCUUGAUUAAAUUAUUUCGGCCGUUUGGUCGCGGCGAGAGUCGCGAUCGCGGUCGGCCUCCAAAUUCUUUAGUAUGUAUGUCUGUCUGAAGAUCAUGAAAAUGAAUUAAAACUUUCAACAACGGAUCUCUUGGUUCUGGCAUCGAUGAAGAACGCAGC
RNAcentral lists this unclassified non-coding RNA (247 nucleotides) under uncultured fungus. Its description in RNAcentral is "sequence contains ITS1, 5.8S rRNA gene". The stretch from base 199 to 247 matches the Rfam family "5.8S ribosomal RNA", at positions 1 to 49 of the family's 154-position model. Lineage: Eukaryota; Fungi. The record is from RNAcentral.